GACGAACGCUGGCGGCGUGCUUAACACAUGCAAGUCGAACGGAAAGGCCCUGCUUUUGUGGGGUGCUCGAGUGGCGAACGGGUGAGUAACACGUGAGUAACCUGCCCUUGACUUUGGGAUAACUUCAGGAAACUGGGGCUAAUACCGGAUAGGAGCUCCUGCUGCAUGGUGGGGGUUGGAAAGUUUCGGCGGUUGGGGAUGGACUCGCGGCUUAUCAGCUUGUUGGUGGGGUAGUGGCUUACCAAGGCUUUGACGGGUAGCCGGCCUGAGAGGGUGACCGGCCACAUUGGGACUGAGAUACGGCCCAGACUCCUACGGGAGGCAGCAGGGGGGAAUAUUGCACAAUGGGCGGAAGCCUGAUGCAGCAACGCCGCGUGCGGGAUGACGGCCUUCGGGUUGUAAACCGCUUUCGCCUGUGACGAAGCGUGAGUGACGGUAAUGGGUAAAGAAGCACCGGCUAACUACG
Molecule: ribosomal RNA, 466 nt
Filed under: uncultured bacterium
Lineage: Bacteria
Description: partial 16S ribosomal RNA
Rfam family: Bacterial small subunit ribosomal RNA
Source: RNAcentral